AUGGACGGCCAAAGGGGCGUGGUUCAUCUGUUCCCAUUCGAACACAGAAAUUAAGAACGUCUCCGUAUCUUGCUGUACUGCAUUACGCGGGAAACUUGGUAAGUUGUCCACC
This 112-nucleotide ribosomal RNA is filed under the name Candidatus Woesearchaeota archaeon. The record is from RNAcentral. Lineage: Archaea; Nanobdellati; Candidatus Woesearchaeota.